GGUGGGAUCGCAUAGCGGUCGAGUGCGCGGGCUUGGAAAGCUCGUAGGUCUGUGAGGGCCUCCAGGGUUCGAAUCCCUGUCCCACCGCCA
This 90-nucleotide transfer RNA is filed under the name bacterium. RNAcentral describes it as "tRNA-Ser". It matches the Rfam family "tRNA". From Rfam's summary of the family: Transfer RNA (tRNA) molecules are approximately 80 nucleotides in length. The record is from RNAcentral.